RNAcentral lists this ribosomal RNA (497 nucleotides) under uncultured bacterium. Its description in RNAcentral is "partial 16S ribosomal RNA". It matches the Rfam family "Bacterial small subunit ribosomal RNA", at positions 28 to 507 of the family's 1533-position model. The record is from RNAcentral.
GUUGAACGCUGGCGGCGUGCCUAAUACAUGCAAGUCGAGCGAAAAGACGAGGGGUUUGCUCCUCUGACGUUAGCCGCGGAGGGGUGUGUAACAUGUGGAUAACUCCCCUAUAAGGCUGUGGUACCUUCGGAACAGCGGUGCUAAUACAGACGAAUAUAUUGAGACGCAUGGUUAACUAGUGACAGACGGUUUUGCUGUUGCUUGUAGAUGGAUCCGCGCCGCAUUAGCUAGUUGGUAAGGUAACGGCUUACCAAGGCGACGAUGCGUAGCCGACCUGAGAGGGUGAUCAGCCACACUGGAACUGAGACACGGUCCAGACUCCUACGGGAGGCAGCAGUAGGGAAUCUUCCGCAAUGGGCGAAAGCUUGACGGAGCAACGCCGCGUGAGUGAUGAAGGUCUUCGGAUCGUAAAACACUGUUAUUAGGGAAGAACAAAUGGGUAAGUAACUAGUCGCGGCUUGACGGUACCGAAUGAGAAAGCCACGGCUAACUACGUG